RNAcentral lists this ribosomal RNA (269 nucleotides) under uncultured Syntrophaceae bacterium. RNAcentral's name for it is "partial 16S ribosomal RNA". It matches the Rfam family "Bacterial small subunit ribosomal RNA", at positions 1110 to 1382 of the family's 1533-position model. The record is from RNAcentral. Lineage: Bacteria; Pseudomonadati; Thermodesulfobacteriota; Syntrophia; Syntrophales; Syntrophaceae.
CUUAAUUGCCAUCAUUUAGUUGGGCACUUUAAAGAGACUGCCGGUGUUAAGCCGGAGAAGUGGGGAUGACGUCAAGUCCUCAUGGCCUUUAUGCCCAGGGCUACACACGUGCUACAAUGGGCGGUACAAAGAGAAGCAACCUCGCGAGGGUGAGCAAAUCUCAAAAAGCCGUUCUCAGUUCGGAUUGAAGUCUGCAACUCGACUUCAUGAAGUCGGAAUCGCUAGUAAUCGCGGAUCAGCAUGCCGCGGUGAAUACGUUCCCGGGCCUU